Long non-coding RNA from Pipistrellus kuhlii (Kuhl's pipistrelle), 442 nucleotides. RefSeq lists it as uncharacterized. The record is from RefSeq and is a predicted model, not a curated record. The transcript is spliced from 3 exons. NCBI's taxonomy places the organism in Eukaryota, Metazoa, Chordata, Mammalia, Chiroptera, Vespertilionidae.
UCAAUUAUGGCUCUGCUAGGUGUCUCUGCUCAUCUUGGCUGGACUUCCUAUGUUUGGGGGUUCUCUGGCCACAGACUGGCUUAAGGUUAUCUCAGAUGGUCCCCACUUAGCUCUGCUCCACUCGAUCUCUCAUUCUUUAGCCGGCUGGUCCAGGCUUACUCCAAGAGACAAGUAGCAGUGCACACUUUCUCAAGCUACUGCUUGGAAUAAGUUUGCUGUUGUCCCAUUGUGUGGAGAACGGCUACAGCGUUUGGACAGGUUCAAGCCUGGGACUAAUGAGAGGCCACGGUCCUCUCGUGGCAAAACCACGUGCAAGUCCUAGUUUGGAGGGCAAAGCCCUCCCAGCACAAUGAUAGCCAAAGGCUGUGGUCAUAAGCUUGACCUUAUGGUGGGAACCUGUGGUCCCACGUGGCUGAGUGAUGUGGGCUUAAUAGAGUUCAGA